RNAcentral lists this ribosomal RNA (421 nucleotides) under uncultured bacterium. Its description in RNAcentral is "bacterial SSU rRNA". It matches the Rfam family "Bacterial small subunit ribosomal RNA", at positions 30 to 456 of the family's 1533-position model. The record is from RNAcentral.
AUUGAACGCUGGCGGCAUGCCUUACACAUGCAAGUCGAACGGUAGAGUAGCAAUACUUGAGAGUGGCGAACGGGUGAGUAAUAUAUCGGAACGUGCCCAGUCGUGGGGGAUAACGUAGAGAAAUUUACGCUAAUACCGCAUACGUCCUACGGGAGAAAGCGGGGGGAUCUUCGGACCUCGCGCCAUUAGAUGAGCCUAGGUCGGAUUAGCUAGUUGGUGAGGUAAUGGCUCACCAAGGCGACGAUCCGUAACUGGUCUGAGAGGAUGAUCAGUCACACUGGAACUGAGACACGGUCCAGACUCCUACGGGAGGCAGCAGUGGGGAAUAUUGGGACAAUGGGCGAAAGCCUGAUCCAGCCAUGCCGCGUGUGUGAGAAGGUCUUCGGAUUGUAAAGCACUUUAAGUUGGGAGGAAGGGUAGG